CAUCUCCAGCUGCUAGUGGCACAAUCCCCUCGCUGCUCCUGCUGGUCCUCUUCUACCUCUACACACGUGAGGCGUGUGACGCUGCUGCAUAGAUGCCUUGCUCCUCUCCACCACCUGCUCCCCUCCGCUUUUCCCCACCAAAUCGAGCAACUUAGCAAACCCUAGCCUCUUUCCUCUGCGCCGCCGCCGUCUCCCUUCUUCCUCUUCUCCACGCAAAACAGUAGGCGGAGAUGAUUUCAGAAAUUCAGAGAUAUCACCGUCAGAGUCUGCCUCCUCUUCCUCGCCUUCGACCGUCCCCAAGCUCGCCGUCGACUCCAUUCGAUCGUGCUCCGAACGUCUUCGAGUUCGGCAAGCCCAGGCAUGCCUCUGGUUCCUCCGCGCAUCCGCGCUGCUAGUCGCCAAUGACCGCAUCGCCCUGCAUCGCCCUCGUCCUGGCUCGUCCAGCCGUCGAGUCCGUCUCCGACCACCGCGUCUGCCACGGGGAUCUCCAUCAGUUUCGUCAGUUCGCCUGUGGCCGUCCGUGACGUUGUUUCAGCGCUUCCUCCAGCUUCCCGAGCACUUCUCUGCCCUCUCGCAUUUGCUUCUUCCCGGAUAGGAUCGCGAAGUGGUGUUGUGAGAUACGACAAGUUCUCCGGAUGUUCCUCGGCAAGCUUUAACAGGCAAG
Molecule: long non-coding RNA, 664 nt
Organism: Lolium perenne
Lineage: Eukaryota; Viridiplantae; Streptophyta; Magnoliopsida; Poales; Poaceae
Source: RefSeq, a predicted model, not a curated record